CUGGAUAUUUAAGUCAGGAGUGAAUCCCGCAGCUCAACUCUGGAACUGCAUCGAUACUGGGUAUCUGAGUAUCGAAGAGGUAAGUGGAAUCCGAGUGUAGACGUGAAAUGCGUAGAUAUCGGAAGGAACCCCCAGGGCGAAGGGCGGACUCACUGGUCCUGAUACUGACCACUGAGGGUGCGAAAAGCGUGGGGAGCCAACCAGAAUAAGAUACCCUGGGUAGUCCACGCCCGUAAACGAAGAUCAUUUAGCCGUCGGGCAGUAUACUGUUCGGUGGCGCACAUAACGCAUUAAACAUUCCGCGCGGGGAGUACGGUCGCACGAUUAUAAAUCAAAGGAAUUGACGGGGGCCCGCACACGCGGUGGAGCACAUGGUUUAAUUUGAAGCAACGCGCAGAACACUACCAGCUGCCGACACUUGGUGUAUGGGCAUCGGAGAUGAUGUCGUUCAGUUAGGCUGUCCCCAGCACAGGUGGCGCAUGGGUGUUCUCAGCUCGUGUCGUGAGAUGUUGGGUUAAGUCCCGCAACGAGCGCACCCCUCCCCCUUAGUUGCCAGCAUUUAGUUGGGCACUCUAAGGGGACUGCCGGUGAUAAGCCGAGAGGAAGGUGGGGAUGACGUCAGUUCUCCAUGGCCCUUACGCCAUGGGUUCCCCACGUGUUCCAAUGGUGGUGCCAAUGGGCAGCGAGACAGGGAUGUCAAGUUAAUCUCCAAAACCCAUCUCAGUUCGGAUUGCACUCUGCAACUCGAGUGCAUGAAGUUGGAAUCGCUAGUAAUCGCAGAUCAGCAUGUCACGGUGAAUACGUUCCCGGGCCUGUACACACCGCCCGUCACACCAUGGGAGUUGGGUUUAUCCGAAGGUAGUUAGUUAACCGCAAGGAG
This 880-nucleotide ribosomal RNA is filed under the name Rhizobium sp. RNAcentral's name for it is "bacterial SSU rRNA". It matches the Rfam family "Bacterial small subunit ribosomal RNA", at positions 575 to 1448 of the family's 1533-position model. Lineage: Bacteria; Pseudomonadati; Pseudomonadota; Alphaproteobacteria; Hyphomicrobiales; Rhizobiaceae. The record is from RNAcentral.